Molecule: non-coding RNA, 29 nt
Filed under: Mus musculus (house mouse)
Lineage: Eukaryota; Metazoa; Chordata; Mammalia; Rodentia; Muridae
Source: RNAcentral
UGGGUGUUCACAAAGGGAUGCGGCGUGUA